RNAcentral lists this long non-coding RNA (336 nucleotides) under Homo sapiens (human). RNAcentral's name for it is "non-protein coding lnc-ARAF-1:1". The record is from RNAcentral. Lineage: Eukaryota; Metazoa; Chordata; Mammalia; Primates; Hominidae.
UCCCCAUGUGCUUUUCCAGUUCUUCUGGAAUUGGGGGACCCCCGCCAAAGACUGAGCCCCCUGUCUCCUCCAUCAUUUGGUUUCCUCUUGGCUUUGGGGAUACUUCUAAAUUUUGGGAGCUCCUCCAUCUCCAAUGGCUGGGAUUUGUGGCAGGGAUUCCACUCAGAACCUCUCUGGAAUUUGUGCCUGAUGUGCCUUCCACUGGAUUUUGGGGUUCCCAGCACCCCAUGUGGAUUUUGGGGGGUCCCUUUUGUGUCUCCCCCGCCAUUCAAGGACUCCUCUCUUUCUUCACCAAGAAGCACAGAAUUCUGCUGGGCCUUUGCUUGUUUAUUUUGU